GUUGCGGGGGAUCGCCGUCCGUCAGCGCGUUGCGCCCACGGGCGCCAUCCCG
Molecule: small RNA, 52 nt
Filed under: Limimaricola pyoseonensis
Lineage: Bacteria; Pseudomonadati; Pseudomonadota; Alphaproteobacteria; Rhodobacterales; Paracoccaceae
Description: ffh sRNA
Rfam family: ffh sRNA
Source: RNAcentral